CCUCAUGGUUAGGGCAUUGCAUGAGUUUGCCAUUGAAUCUUUUCAAUACCUCAUAUAAGGGCUCACCACUAAGUUGAUGAAAUUUUUUUAUUUCUUCUCUUAGAUG
Capsicum annuum is the source of this 106-nucleotide non-coding RNA. The record is from Rfam. Lineage: Eukaryota; Viridiplantae; Streptophyta; Magnoliopsida; Solanales; Solanaceae.